AAGAAAGGGGAUCGAGAACAGAAACCGUAAGAACAUAUAAAUCAAGAACCCUCAUGGAUUUUUUUAUUUUUUUUUCCAUUUUUUUUACAAUUAACAAGUAACCAAACAAAUUUGAGAACCUAAAAUUAAGAAUCACCCAACCAAACUUCAGAUUCAUAAUAUAUUUUCUCAGCAUCCAAACAGAGGAUAAUGCAACACAUGAAGAAAUAAAGACGCAAAUGAAGAAAAGAAAGGGGAUUGAGAAAACAGACGAUGGUGGGUUUGAACUCCUUGAGCUUCUGCAGCUUCUUCAACUCCAUCUGAAGCUUGUCUUGCUCUCGGCCCUUCAUUGCGAGAUCUUCCUCCUUGGUCUUCAAGAUCUCAUCCUUCUCCUUCAGGAGCUCCAAGGUUUUCUCCUUCUCGAGUUUCAUCGCUUGCAGCUUCUCUUGCAUUUCUUCGAGUUCUUUCUCGAAUGACUACGGUUGGGUCUUCUUCUGCUUGGCCUGUUUCUUAGAAGCCGCAACUUUGGCCGACUUCUUGGGGGAGGUUCGAGUCUGAGAGAGGCUUGCUUGGUUCUCCUUCGUUGGGUUGGAGUCCGAUGGUGUUUGGAUCGGGCUUGGAGCGGCGUCAGAGACCUUUCCUGCGAGGAUAUUGGCUGCAUUUCCAGAUGGGUUUUUGUCCUUGAGUGCCCUUCGGAUGGCCCUUGGCUUCCUGUUGGGCAUUUCGGCGAUUGCGGUGUCAUCCAUGGCAGAGAGAGAGAGGUCAGAGGUCGGCGAUUGCGGGAUCCCAGCUAUUCCAUACAAUCUACUUUUGGAUCCCUCACGUGCAGGCUAACGGAAAAGGACGAAAGUUAAGUUUUGGGGUUGAAAUCCGAAUAGACUUUACCACGAAUCCGAAUGUUUUUACUACAUGGUCUAUCAUCUGAAUACCUUAAGACCACGAGGACUAUUUAUCCAAUUUAGCCAUAAAAUUUUGAUGGAUAUUUUGGAUAAACCACCAAUUAAACUUUGAGUUUUGAGCCUCUUCCCCCUUUAUCUUGCGUCUCAUCUCUUCUUGGAAUGGGACUGUGGUCCGUGUGAAUUAACCCUACGAUGACUCCAUAGAUAGGAGCUGACAAUUGACUUGACUUGGCUGCUUCUUUGCUCCUCUGUGUGCAACUUCAGAAUUCUUGUGUUCACUUCUAUAAAAAGCACUUUAGUUAGUCAUCUUCAUCCAUUAGCUGACAUGUAACUACUACAAAAUGAAGACAUCUUUUCCUUCACGAUUAAAGGUUUUACACGGCAUGUUUUCUUUAAACAUAGCUGCACCUGCACCAUCUUUCAAACAUGGCUGCUGCUUUUGACAUUAAUAUAGUUAAGCAUAGCUGCUGUGUAGCAUCCUUGGAUUCCUUGCAUAGAUGUUGCCUUAGGAGACGAUUUGAGGAGGAGGGACCAACGAGUUCUUGUUGGCUUCUGCUUUCUCUGUUUCCUUUUGAAUUUCAGAAAAG
RNAcentral lists this long non-coding RNA (1465 nucleotides) under Malus domestica (apple). Its description in RNAcentral is "long non-coding RNA (MDOM_LNC006559)". Lineage: Eukaryota; Viridiplantae; Streptophyta; Magnoliopsida; Rosales; Rosaceae. The record is from RNAcentral.